AGUUUGAUCAUGGCUCAGAACGAACGCUGGCGGCAUGCCUAACACAUGCAAGUCGAACGAGACCUUCGGGUCUAGUGGCGCACGGGUGCGUAACGCGUGGGAAUCUGCCCUUGGGUUCGGAAUAACAGUUAGAAAUGACUGCUAAUACCGGAUAAUGUCUUCGGACCAAAGAUUUAUCGCCCAGGGAUGAGCCCGCGUAGGAUUAGCUAGUUGGUGAGGUAAAGGCUCACCAAGGCGACGAUCCUUAGCUGGUCUGAGAGGAUGAUCAGCCACACUGGGACUGAGACACGGCCCAGACUCCUACGGGAGGCAGCAGUGGGGAAUAUUGGACAAUGGGCGAAAGCCUGAUCCAGCAAUGCCGCGUGAGUGAUGAAGGCCUUAGGGUUGUAAAGCUCUUUUACCCGGGAUGAUAAUGACAGUACCGGGAGAAUAAGCCCCGGCUAACUCCGUG
Molecule: ribosomal RNA, 451 nt
Filed under: uncultured bacterium
Lineage: Bacteria
Description: bacterial SSU rRNA
Rfam family: Bacterial small subunit ribosomal RNA
Source: RNAcentral